CGGAGGGUGCAAGCGUUGUCCGGAUUUAUUGGGUUUAAAGGGUGCGUAGGCGGCCUAAUAAGUCAGUGGUGAAAGCCUCCAGCUUAACUGGAGAACUGCCAUUGAUACUGUUAGGCUUGAGUAUACUUGAGGUAGGCGGAAUUGACAGUGUAGCGGUGAAAUGCAUAGAUAUUGUCAAGAACACCAAUUGCGAAGGCAGCUUACUAAAUUAUAACUGACGCUGAGGCACGAAAGUGUGGGUAUCAAACAGGAUU
Molecule: ribosomal RNA, 254 nt
Filed under: uncultured bacterium
Lineage: Bacteria
Description: partial 16S ribosomal RNA
Rfam family: Bacterial small subunit ribosomal RNA
Source: RNAcentral